This 411-nucleotide ribosomal RNA is filed under the name uncultured bacterium. RNAcentral's name for it is "bacterial SSU rRNA". It matches the Rfam family "Bacterial small subunit ribosomal RNA", at positions 769 to 1186 of the family's 1533-position model. The record is from RNAcentral.
UUAACAGGAUUAGAUACCCUGGUAGUCCACGCCGUAAACGAUGCUCACUCGCUGUAUGCGAUACACAGUAUGCGGCCAAGCGAAAGCAUUAAGUGAGCCACCUGGGGAGUACGUCGGCAACGGUGAAACUCAAAGGAAUUGACGGGGGCCCGCACAAGCGGAGGAACAUGUGGUUUAAUUCGAUGAUACGCGAGGAACCUUACCUGGGCUUAAAUGUAGGUUGACAGGACCUGAAAGGGUUUUUUCUUCGGACAACUUACAAGGUGCUGCAUGGUUGUCGUCAGCUCGUGCCGUGAGGUGUCGGGUUAAGUCCCAUAACGAGCGCAACCCUUACCGUUAGUUACCAUCAGUUUGGCUGGGGACUCUAGCGGGACUGCCACCGUAAGGUGAGAGGAAGGUGGGGAUGACGUA